This 1305-nucleotide ribosomal RNA is filed under the name Triticum aestivum (bread wheat). Its description in RNAcentral is "partial small subunit ribosomal RNA". The record is from RNAcentral. Lineage: Eukaryota; Viridiplantae; Streptophyta; Magnoliopsida; Poales; Poaceae.
AUGGGGAAGGCUGGGAGGUGGCUGAGGAGCAUCUUGGCCGGGAAAAGGGAUGGCGGCAGGAGAGGGGGCAAGCGGGGGCAGGCGCAGUGUGACUCGACGCCUUUGGCCGAGCUGCCGGCGGCUGCCAUCCCGAGGGAGAAGAGGCGAUGGAGCUUCCGAAGGCCUGCGGCGCCGGUCAAGACCGCCGCCGCACCGUCGCCGUUGGCCCUGGAAGCAGGCGGUCUGUCGGAGUCGGUGUCGGAGCGCGAGCUUGAGCAGAGCAAGCACGCCGUGGCGGUGAUCAUGGCGGCCGCUGAUCCCGCGGUGAUACGGCUGACGGCACCCGAGGCGGAGGAUGACCACGACCUCAACCUGUAUGCCACCCCUGUCCAGGAGGCCGCGGCCGCAAGGAUCCAGGCCACCUUCAGAGGCUACCUGGCAAGGAAGGCUCUGUGCGCGCUGAGGGGUCUGGUGAAGCUGCAGGCGCUGAUCAGGGGCCACCUGGUGAGGAAGCAGGCCAGAGCCACGCUCCGCCGCAUGCAGGCCCUCCUCAUGGCGCAGACCCGCGUGCGCGCGCAGCGCAUGCGCAUGCUCGAGGAAGAAGACCACGCCGCCGCCCCUGUCGACCGCCGGUCGCCGCAGCACCCCAGACGCCGCCGCUCCUACGAGAUGGACAGGUCCGGCGAGGAGCAUGCCAAGAUCGUGGAGAUGGACAUGGGGGAGCCGCCGCGGCGGGGGCGGAGCAGCUGCUCGGUCGCGGCGAGCGAGCCAUGGUCGAGAGAGCGCCCUGGAGCAGAGUACCACGGCCCCGGCCAGUGCUCGCCAGCGCCGUCGGCGGCGUUCACCGAGAUCACGAGCCCGCGCGCCUACAGCGGGCACUUCGAGGACUUCGAGCCGGCGACGGCGCGUGUCAGCGCGUACGUGCCGGCAGGUUAUGCCGACGAGGGCGAGUCCGCGUCCGAGUUCUUCCCCAACUACAUGGCCAACACCCAGUCCUCGCGCGCCAAGGCCCGGUCCCAGAGCGCGCCGAAGCAGAGGCCCGACUCGCCGUCGCCGCUGGAGCGGCAGCCGAGCCGGCGCCGCGGUGGCCCGGCGCCCCUGCCGAGAAGCGUCAAGAUGCAGCGGUCGUCGUCGCACGUUGGCGUGCCGUCGUCGGCGGCCGCCAUGUACGCACAGUACUACCCGUGGUCGGUGAAGCUGGACCGGUCCAGCGCGUCGCUCCAUGAGAGCGAGUGCGGGUCGACGAGCUCCAUCCUAACCGCAGCUACCACCGUCGGUUACAGCCGCUCCAUGGUCGGAUUCGAGGUGCACAGGAACCAGUAUUGA